UGGGGAAUCUUGCACAAUGGGGGAAACCCUGAUGCAGCGACGCCGCGUGAACGAUGAAGCCCUUCGGGGUGUAAAGUUCUUUCGACGGGGACGAUAAUGACGGUACCCGGAGAAGAAGCUGCGGCUAACUACGUGCCAGCAGCCGCGGUAAUACGUAGGCAGCAAGCGUUGUUCGGAAUUACUGGGCGUAAAGAGUGCGUAGGUGGUUGGCCAAGUUUGGUGUGAAAUCUCCCGGCUUAACUGGGAGGGUGCGCCGAAAACUGGUUGACUAGAGUGUGGGAGAGGGACGUGGAAUUCCUGGUGUAGGGGUGAAAUGCGUAGAUAUCAGGAGGAACACCGGCGGUGUAGACGGCUUGCUAGACCAUAACUGACGCUGAGGCACGAAAGCGUGGGUA
Molecule: ribosomal RNA, 395 nt
Filed under: uncultured bacterium
Lineage: Bacteria
Description: bacterial SSU rRNA
Rfam family: Bacterial small subunit ribosomal RNA
Source: RNAcentral